GGGUAAUCGGAUUCAAAACAACAUUAGAGCAACAACUUUGCCUACAUACAAUCUGGUAUCACGGUCGCCUCGUUCAGCAAAGCAGACGAGGAUCGCUUGUAUUUCUGAAAACCGGAAAUAAAGACACUUUCAGUUUGAGAAAGGGGCAGACGGAAGCAAUGGUCACACAGAAGAGGACACACCUCCUGAGAUUUCCUUUUCAAAUGUCCUACGUGGACCGCCUCUGGAGGAUGGAGUCCGUGGUUUCGCUGAAUGCGUUUACCUCUAGGCGUGGCCUGUAGUGAGCGUCACUCCACCCUGCCAUAGCCAGGUGCUCUAAUGGUGCUCUAGUAGUGACUAGAGAUACCCCACGCAGGGUGAAGCCCUCAUCUAGGCUGUGAAGUGAUCUGUUUUGGAAAGUAUGAGGGUUUUAAUAAGACAGUGCACAGGACAACCUGAGAAUAGGAGAAAAGCGUCACAAUAGAAUAAAGGUCACUAUCUAUCAUGUCACCAUUCCUCCUGGCGGGAGCCUCAGGCUUGAGAAGGGACGUGGAAACCGGUAGGAGUCGGGGUGGGGGGGAUCCUCUCCACAGUCAGAGAAGCAGAAAAUAACUCCCAGGAGGAGGGCCUCUCAGAAAGGCCAUGCAGAAGAACCUUCAGGAGACUCUCUUUCCCAUCCAAGGCUUCGGCUUCCCAUGACUGGAAGGGCUUUUUGGUCACACAGGCUGUUUCGGUCAUCUGUGCUCCUCUAAGUAAUUACUUAUCCACACUCCUGAAUGACUUCAGUAGAAUCAUCAGCUUGAUCACUAGCACUUCCCUAUCUGCGGUGAGCAGACGUCUGUGCUGUGUCUGCUCAGAAAAGUCUCAAACAAUGGCCACCGAUGGAAACCUCCCAGGGCAGAUCCUACUCAACUGCUUCUUCGAGUCGGAUGACUCAAGAUGCUUCAGUUCCCACUGACUGUCUCUAGCCAGCAUGGUCUUAACCAGAGAAGAUAAUCAAGAACAAUUAGAAAAGGUAUUGAAGUGGGAAAUGGAGGGUCGGGGAUGAAG
This 1029-nucleotide long non-coding RNA is filed under the name Rattus norvegicus (Norway rat). RNAcentral describes it as "long non-coding RNA NONRATT007252". Lineage: Eukaryota; Metazoa; Chordata; Mammalia; Rodentia; Muridae. The record is from RNAcentral.